Long non-coding RNA from Gorilla gorilla gorilla (western lowland gorilla), 1159 nucleotides. RefSeq lists it as uncharacterized. The transcript is spliced from 7 exons. The record is from RefSeq and is a predicted model, not a curated record. NCBI's taxonomy places the organism in Eukaryota, Metazoa, Chordata, Mammalia, Primates, Hominidae.
GUCAGAACCAACAGAUCUCUAAUAUUCUUUGGUCUGAAAACUGGCAGCAGCUGGUGAUCCAGAGGUCUCAUGGCAGAAUGAAGGAAUUUACCAAAGCUAAGCCCUUGGACACUGGGCCUAUCUAUUUCUUUGAUCAGUUGAAACCUGAAUGGAAAGAUGGGAAAAGAUAACCUGUGAAGAAAGUUAUCCCACCCAAAAUGCACCUCAAGAGCUAAGUAUAGUAAUAAAAAGAAAACAGAGUUAAAAGAACUAAAGAAAGCAAGACUAACUACAGUAGCCGCAUCUAUGAAAGAAGAUGAAUUCCACUCACCAAGCAUCUCACAACCUCCUAGUGUGUCCAAGCUUCCUUCAAAACUUAGAUUCUCCAAAAGAUGCCUGUAAAAAUAACCUAUUUUAAGAAUACGAACUCAUUGCUCCCAAAACACUGUGUGAACCUGGGGAGACAUUGCAGCAAUGCUGAGCUUGACUUUACUUUCCCUGAGGGAAUUGUAAAUCUCAUAAAUAACAGUUGGAAAGAUCUUACUGAAGAUGCUUAUAUGCAUGCAUCCAAAAAUUCAAUGUGGAUGCAAGACCAUGCUCUGCAAGGAGGUUGCAAUUCCAUGACCAUAGUUAACUUACUAGAACACAAAAUGAGCAGGGGUUCAAGAGAAGAAUGUCAUCAGCAAAAUCAUCUAGUUAAAGCAAAAGAAGACCACCAUGUUGCAUCAACUAAAUCUAUGGAAAAAAUAGCUCUUGUCAACCACAACCACAGUUCCCAGAUCUCCCAGGAGAGCAGUUUACCUGUUGUCACCCACUUUUCACUGUCAUCCAAGAUCUGUUUAGAAAAUGGUUGGAUCUUUCAACAUCCUUACUCAAAAUGGGAAAUUUUGAAGUGGAAGACAGUCCCCAGUAUAGCUGUGAAGAGACUACAAGUAGCCAUAAUUCAAAUAAAAAUAGAAGAAGCAAAGCAAAAAAAAAAAGGGCAUCAACAAACAACUUAUCCGGCGCCGCUAUGAGGACCUGGAAGGCGUGGAGGAGAGCAGGGAUCAGCAGUGCUCACAGAGUUUCUGGCUGGAGCUGCUGGAGAAGAAGACCCAGAUGCCAAUUGUCAGAAAGGCUGACCCCAACAUGAAAAAAUUCCAUUACGCUCUGGUGGAUGGCUCCUCUCUGACCUAAUAUC